Molecule: ribosomal RNA, 253 nt
Filed under: uncultured bacterium
Lineage: Bacteria
Description: partial 16S ribosomal RNA
Rfam family: Bacterial small subunit ribosomal RNA
Source: RNAcentral
UACAGAGGCCCCAAGCGUUACUGAGAAUCACUGGGUUUAAAGGGUGCGUAGGUGGUCCGUUAAGUUCGUUGUGAAGGCCCUGGGCUCAACCCAGGAACUGCUUCGAAUACUGGCGGACUUGAGGCUAGUAGAGGUCACUGGAACUGACGGUGGAGCGGUGAAAUACGUAGAUAUCGUCAGGAACGCCAAUGGUGAAGACAGGUGACUGGGCUAGUUCUGACACUGAGGCACGAAAGCGUGGGGAUCAAACGGG